CCAUCUCUAGGAUGCACGCCAAUCUAUCGCGUCCCCUGAGCCGAUUUCAUCUCUUUGGGAAGCGGUAUUGAUGUGGUGGUGUGCAUGUCUGUUCAGUGCCCGGCCUGUCCGGUCACCAGCAGAAAGCCUGAUCCGCAUACUGGCUUCCCCCUUGAACCUUUGGGUUCAAGGGCCAAGAUGGGUAGCGGCAUUCUGGAGCCUUU
RNAcentral lists this non-coding RNA (203 nucleotides) under Fluviicoccus sp. RNAcentral describes it as "6S RNA". It matches the Rfam family "6S / SsrS RNA". From Rfam's summary of the family: E. coli 6S RNA was the first non coding RNA to be sequenced, but its function was unknown until recently. It consists of 184 nucleotides that fold into an extended hairpin structure with a large single-stranded internal bulge. The record is from RNAcentral. Lineage: Bacteria; Pseudomonadati; Pseudomonadota; Gammaproteobacteria; Moraxellales; Moraxellaceae.